AUAACUUGCAAAGACAAAUACUGAAGCCCUCAAGUUAUUGCUUGCAGUUUAAGCUUCAUAUAUUGACUCUUCUUGGUGUAGUCAAAAGAAGGGGGCGAUGUAAUGCAAAGAUGAUGGUUUCAGACAUGGUUUUGCAGAUUGUUUUCAACAUUUGUUUUGGUUGUAAAUUAAGAAAAAGAAAGAACCAAACCUCGGAUAUGGGCUGUGCUUCACAGCUUUUUGUCCAUAUUUUCUCCAUCUAUACCCGUCUUCAAGAUGAUCAACUUCACUUUUAGUCAUGAAAGCAAAUCGUGGUUCCCUUUGCUUUUUCUCUCCUUCAGUUUUCGCUUUGUUCCUGUUAGAUACAAUAAACAAUUACACUUACACCUCAAGAUUCG
Molecule: long non-coding RNA, 377 nt
Organism: Hibiscus syriacus
Lineage: Eukaryota; Viridiplantae; Streptophyta; Magnoliopsida; Malvales; Malvaceae
Exons: 2
Source: RefSeq, a predicted model, not a curated record